GACGAACGCUGGCGGCGUGCCUAAUACAUGCAAGUAGAACGCUGAAGAGAGGAGCUUACUCUUCUUGGAUGAGUUGCGAACGGGUGAGUAACGCGUAGGUAACCUGCCUUGUAGCGGGGGAUAACUAUUGGAAACGAUAGAUAAUACCGCAUAACAAUGGAUGACACAUGUCAUUUAUUUGAAAGGGGCAAUUGCUCCACUACAAGAUGGACCUGCGUUGUAUUAGCUAGUAGGUGAGGUAAUGGCUCACCUAGGCGACGAUACAUAGCCGACCUGAGAGGGGGAUCGGCCACACUGGGACUGAGACACGGCCCAGACUCCUACGGGAGGCAGCAGUAGGGAAUCUUCGGCAAUGGGGGCAACCCUGACCGAGCAACGCCGCGUGAGUGAAGAAGGUUUUCGGAUCGUAAAGCUCUGUUGUAAGUCAAGAACGGGUGUGAGAGUGGAAAGUUCACACUGUGACGGUAGCUUACCAGAAAGGGACGGCUAACUACGUG
Molecule: ribosomal RNA, 497 nt
Filed under: uncultured bacterium
Lineage: Bacteria
Description: partial 16S ribosomal RNA
Rfam family: Bacterial small subunit ribosomal RNA
Source: RNAcentral